UACGAAGGGGGCUAGCGUUGUUCGGAAUUACUGGGCGUAAAGCGCGCGCAGGCGGUAUUUCAAGUCAGUGGUGAAAGCCUGGAGCUCAACUCCAGAACUGCCAUUGAAACUGCAAGACUUGAGUACGAGAGAGGUGAGUGGAAUUCCCAGUGUAGAGGUGAAAUUCGUAGAUAUUGGGAAGAACACCGGUGGCGAAGGCGGCUCACUGGCUCGUAACUGACGCUCAGGCGCGACAGCGUGGGGAUCAAACAGG
Molecule: ribosomal RNA, 253 nt
Filed under: uncultured bacterium
Lineage: Bacteria
Description: partial 16S ribosomal RNA
Rfam family: Bacterial small subunit ribosomal RNA
Source: RNAcentral